GCGUCGGUGGUGUAACGGUAGCACGCACCUCCGGUAUGGGUGAAACGCGGAUUCAACUCCAGCUUGAUGUC
Non-coding RNA from Parelaphostrongylus tenuis, 71 nucleotides. The record is from the annotation of a GenBank genome assembly. NCBI's taxonomy places the organism in Eukaryota, Metazoa, Nematoda, Chromadorea, Rhabditida, Metastrongylidae.